RNAcentral lists this ribosomal RNA (566 nucleotides) under uncultured bacterium. Its description in RNAcentral is "bacterial SSU rRNA". It matches the Rfam family "Bacterial small subunit ribosomal RNA", at positions 112 to 714 of the family's 1533-position model. The record is from RNAcentral.
AACGCGUGGGAAUGUACCCUUUUCUAAGGAAUAGCCUCGGGAAACUGAGAGUAAUACCUUAUACGCCCUUCGGGGGAAAGAUUUAUCGGAGAAGGAUCAGCCCGCGUUGGAUUAGGUAGUUGGUGGGGUAACGGCCUACCAAGCCUACGAUCCAUAGCUGGUUUGAGAGGAUGAUCAGCAACACUGGGACUGAGACACGGCCCAGACUCCUACGGGAGGCAGCAGUGGGGAAUCUUAGACAAUGGGCGCAAGCCUGAUCUAGCCAUGCCGCGUGAGUGACGAAGGCCUUAGGGUCGUAAAGCACUUUCGCCAGAGAUGAUAAUGACAGUAUCUGGUAAAGAAACCCCGGCUAACUCCGUGCAGCAGCCGCGGUAAUACGGAGGGGGUUAGCGUUGUUCGGAAUUACUGGGCGUAAAGCGCGCGUAGGCGGAUUAGUAAGUUAGGGGUGAAAUCCCGGGGCUCAACCCCGGAACUGCCUCUAAUACUGCUAGUCUUGAGUUCGAGAGAGGUGAGUGGAAUUCCGAGUGUAGAGGUGAAAUUCGUAGAUAUUCGGAGGAACACCAGUG